Molecule: long non-coding RNA, 603 nt
Organism: Seriola aureovittata
Lineage: Eukaryota; Metazoa; Chordata; Actinopteri; Carangiformes; Carangidae
Exons: 3
Source: RefSeq, a predicted model, not a curated record
UGUGUUCCGCCCACUGAGUCCGUGUUACAGACGGUAUCGUUACUUCCCUCGCGAACACCGGCUUUCGGUAGAACAAUGUCGAAGGUACGAGCGAAACACAGUAGUUGCUUUGUUGUUGGCUGCACAAACCAACACAGAAGUCUUUUUUAACCCCUACGCCCGAGGAUCUGAAGACCCAGUGGAUUCAUUUUAUUUUUGAUGGAAAUGUUCCCGCUCCAACUCCGAAAGUGUUGUACGUGUGUGCUAACCGUUUCACCUAGGACUGCUUUCUCAACGAGGGCCAGUACAAUGCAGGAUUUCCUACAAGUCUGAAGAUAAAGCCUGGAUCAGUACCGACUGUGCGUGACCCAACUUUGAACUUCGGAGCUGCCAUCUAUACAGCUUCCUGCAACAGGGGAUGUUGCAUGCCAGACUGACCCACUGCAGGCACACAGUUAUCCUUGAAGAGUCUUCAGCCUCACAUCAGAAGUACAGGGAAUGUGGUGGACCUCAUAUUUGAAAAAGUCUUUGUGACCUGGGACCAUACACAGAAGCUGCUUUGGCCAUCCCCAUCCCAGAGGACCUCACUGCACAGUUCGAGCGGCCUGAGAAGGAGGAGGUCAU